Molecule: transfer RNA, 77 nt
Filed under: bacterium
Lineage: Bacteria
Description: tRNA-His
Rfam family: tRNA
About the family: Transfer RNA (tRNA) molecules are approximately 80 nucleotides in length. Their secondary structure includes four short double-helical elements and three loops (D, anti-codon, and T loops).
Source: RNAcentral
GUGGUUGUAGCUCAGCUGGUUAGAGCAUUGGAUUGUGGUUCCAAGGGUCGGGGGUUCGAGUCCCCUCAGCCACCCCA